UACAAAACUGGCAGAGUUGUAAUAGUCCUGAGUGGUAAAUAUGCAGGAAAAAAAAAGCCU
Molecule: transfer RNA, 60 nt
Filed under: Guillardia theta
Lineage: Eukaryota; Cryptophyceae; Pyrenomonadales; Geminigeraceae
Source: RNAcentral